GCAAACGGGCCCUGUUUGAAUGAGUGAAGUAGAUAUUCCCGCAAGGAACAAAUCACAUAGAGAGGGUUUAACUCAUUGCAUAGACUACCUCAGAGACGAUGAAGCUGUUGAUCUUGGUAGCUGCUUUACUGGCCGUGACCAGUGCUGCCAGCAUAUCUCUGGAGGACCCAGAGGUCCAUGCCUCUAAAACUGCUUGAAGGUGAACGUAUUUGCUGAAUAGAUGCUGGAUUGGCCGUGGUGUUGUAGAGGCUGUUGGAAUGCUGUAGGAGUGGGCUUCGGUCACUGACGCCUCUUCUCCUCCACCCGUCUUCUUCAUUAAAGAUGCUCUCCAUGCAGAUCUCGAGUCUGACUCAGUUCACUGUGGCAUCCUUGGUGUGUGAGUGCUUGCGCGUCUGUGUGUG
Molecule: long non-coding RNA, 401 nt
Organism: Conger conger (European conger)
Lineage: Eukaryota; Metazoa; Chordata; Actinopteri; Anguilliformes; Congridae
Exons: 3
Source: RefSeq, a predicted model, not a curated record